UACGUAGGUGGCAAGCGUUAUCCGGAAUUAUUGGGCGUAAAGAGCGCGCAGGUGGUUGAUUAAGUCUGAUGUGAAAGCCCACGGCUUAACCGUGGAGGGUCAUUGGAAACUGGUCGACUUGAGUGCAGAAGAGGGAAGUGGAAUUCCAUGUGUAGCGGUGAAAUGCGUAGAGAUUAGGAGGAACACCAGUGGCGAAGGCGACUUCUGGACUGUAACUGACGCUGAGGCACGAAAGCGUGGGGAGGCAAACAGGAUUAGAUACCCU
RNAcentral lists this ribosomal RNA (265 nucleotides) under uncultured prokaryote. RNAcentral describes it as "partial 16S ribosomal RNA". It matches the Rfam family "Bacterial small subunit ribosomal RNA", at positions 524 to 788 of the family's 1533-position model. The record is from RNAcentral.